This 70-nucleotide transfer RNA is filed under the name Phylloscopus collybita (eurasian chiffchaff). RNAcentral's name for it is "tRNA-His". It matches the Rfam family "tRNA". Rfam says of the family: Transfer RNA (tRNA) molecules are approximately 80 nucleotides in length. Their secondary structure includes four short double-helical elements and three loops (D, anti-codon, and T loops). The record is from RNAcentral. Lineage: Eukaryota; Metazoa; Chordata; Aves; Passeriformes; Phylloscopidae.
GCAAGCAUAGUUUUAAUUCAAACAUUAGACUGUGAUCCUAAAAAUAGAAGUUAAAAUCUUCUUGCUCGCC